Leopardus geoffroyi (Geoffroy's cat) is the source of this 167-nucleotide long non-coding RNA. RefSeq lists it as uncharacterized. The transcript has 4 exons. Lineage: Eukaryota; Metazoa; Chordata; Mammalia; Carnivora; Felidae. The record is from RefSeq and is a predicted model, not a curated record.
UUCUUGGCUCGUAAUGCUGAUUCAUGAAUCUAAAUUACUCAAAAAUAAAAAGAUUAUUGUUACUUCUAAAAUAAAAGUAUAAUAACUUACGUGGCUUUUAUACUCAUUUUCAAGAAUACUUGCAAUGAAUAUUUACCACCCCCAGGACCUUUUUUUCUCUCUUCCAG